RNAcentral lists this unclassified non-coding RNA (1114 nucleotides) under Hevea brasiliensis (rubber tree). The record is from RNAcentral. Lineage: Eukaryota; Viridiplantae; Streptophyta; Magnoliopsida; Malpighiales; Euphorbiaceae.
GCGUACCGUAAAAUCCUAAAAACGGAGAAGUAUAAUAUAGUACUGGAUUCAACUGGUUAUAUUCUAAAAGGCAAAGAAACGAUUCUUUUUUGUUUUUGAAAAAAUGGAAUCAUCGGCAGAGCGACGCCUGAAAGCUAUUCAAAGCCAUCUUGUUCCGGCCACCGACGACGUGUCUCGGUCAUUGAUCCGUUCAAACCCAACUGCCGGCGAAUUUUUACUAGGUCAGGGGUUCAGCGUAGUUCUUCCUGAGAAAUUGCAGACAGGAAAAUGGAAUGUAUACAGAUCUGCACGAUCUCCUCUUAAGCUUGUUACUAGAUUUCCCGAUCAUCCUGAAAUUGGGACAUUGCACGAUAACUUUGAACAUGCGAUUCAAACCUUUCAGGAUUACAAAUAUUUGGGUUCACGCAUUCGGGUAGAUGGAACUGUUGGAGAUUACAAAUGGAUGACAUAUGGAGAGGCAGGGACUGCUCGGACUGCAAUUGGUUCUGGACUUCACUAUUAUGGAUUACAACCGGGUGCUCGUGUGGGACUUUACUUCAUAAAUAGGCCUGAGUGGAUGAUUGUAGACCAUGCCUGCUCAGCAUAUUCAUAUACUUCAAUCCCUCUAUAUGACACUCUUGGUCCUGACGCUGUUAAAUAUAUUGUUAAUCAUGCUGAUGUACAAGCCAUUUUUUGUGUGCCAACUACCUUGAACACUUUGUUGACCUUUUUAUCAGAGAUUCCAUCUGUACGUUUGAUUGUGGUAGUGGGUGGGAUAGAUGAACAUCUCCCAUCUCUUCCAUCUACAACGGGAAUGAAGCUCUUAUCAUAUACAAGGCUUCUGAGUCAGGGCCGCAGCAGUAUGCAACCCUUUUGCCCUCCCAGGCCUGAAGAUAUUGCUACCAUAUGCUAUACAAGUGGUACUACGGGGACACCAAAGGGUGUCGUAUUAUCCCAUGCAAACCUGAUAGCAAGUGUUGCAGGCAUGACCCUUGCAAUCAAGUUUUAUCCAUCUGACAUAUACAUAUCCUAUCUUCCCCUGGCACACAUCUAUGAACGUGCCAACCAAAUUACAUCGGUAUAUUCUGGUGUUGCGGUUGGAUUCUACCAGGGGGACAAUCUGAAAUUGAUGGAU